AUACCUAUUCAGGGGUGAAUGAGUUAAAUUAUUAAAAACAUUCAAGGAGAAAACAAAAUAAUACACCAUUCAGGUUUGAUCAGGACAAUUGUUUUAUAGGUGAACACAAUCUUGUUGAUAGUAUUAUUUAAAAGUAAAAGACUAUCAUGCAUUGUCACUGUUCACUGACUAUGCUGGAAGUACAUAAGUUUUAUGAUAAGGAGCAAAUGAUAACAAAACCAGCUUUUCCCGCUGUUUUGUUAGGUUAUUGAAAAACUGACACAGACAUUAUUCUUCUUCAUUACAAAGCGAUAUAUUUGUUGCUAUAUCUUCCCCCUGAUGUUAACAAUAUGCAAUUUUCUUAAUCACUCUAAGAAAGAUAUAAAAUCUCCCUUUUUGUUUGUGAUUCCUGUGAAAAGCAACAUUUUCAGUAGGAUCAGUUCUCACCUAUUUACCCAAAAAACACCUUUUUUAGACAAUUAAGAUAGGAUUAUUUUUUCAUGAAAACUGUGAAAAUUGGUCUUUUCAUUGUCUAAUUUGAUAUUCCUUUUUUUUCGUCCACAGAAAUUAUACUGUGAUAUUGCCAUCCUGCUAAAUUCAAUCUAUUGGAUCUUUGAAAUGAAAUUUACCGUCGAGACUCUUCUUUUUUCUAUUAGUUACACUAUCUUAAAUAUGUUUUCAACACUUUCAACCGGGUUUGAACUUUGUUAUUCAUUUGUAACUUCUAUCUGUAAAUGGUUUCUUACAAAAGCGAUUCUAAAACUCGUUUUGUUUUAAUUGAUAAAAAAUGCUUUGAUGGUCCUUUUUCUUGUUUAUGAUAAGAAUACAUAUGUGCAGUUGUUAUAGAUGUGUGGAUGAUGCUAUAGAUAUUGUAUUGAGUGAGGCGGGACAUUGAAACAAACAAUGAGAAUCAUUGUCAGAUAACGUAGUCAUUUUUUAUGGAUAUGUACGAAUAUAUAUUAUAUAUAUAUUGAUAUACAUUGUAUUAUAUUGAUGAACAUUGUGAAGUAUAAAAAUGAUUUUUAUUUAAUUCUUUAUUUUAAAAAAAUGUGCUUUGACCAAGAUUAUGACAUUUCCUUUUUAUCAGGGUAGUUUUUUUUCAUGUUGGCCGAUAAACAGUUUGUGUCAUCUUGAAUUCUUGUGUCACAUGGGUAUCUCUCUUUUAUACAGGCUAAAACCACACAACAUCUAAUGGAAUAAUAGAACCUAUUAUUAUAUAAUACUGGCUAAAACUACACAACAUCUAAUGGAAUAAUAGAACCUAUUAAGCUUUCACAUGGAGUGAUACUCCCCAUAGCUUUUUUACAUUUCAAUUUUGCACAAAACAAACUUGAAAAUAUAUGGCAAUAGUUAUUAAAAAAAUGUUUUGUUUGUUCGACAACAUUAAGAUAACAUUCUACCCAUUCCAUGUGAACAUCUUUACCCACUCGCACAUUAUAAACUGUGUUAUAUAUAUAAAGGGAGAUAACUCCUCUUUCAUUAUUGCAGGACAUUUAUUAUUUUGUACUUACCAUAGACAGAAAGGUCAUACUUACUGAUAAUCUAGGCCUCUCAUGAUGAUCCCAACAUUUACUUACUUAUAAUCUAGCUCUCAUGAUGAUCCCAACAUAUACUUACUUAUAAUCUAGCUCUCAUGAUGAUCCCAACAUUUACUUACUUAUAAUCUAGCUCUCAUGAUGAUCCCAAAAUUUACUUACUUAUAAUCUAGGCCUCUCAUGAUGAUCCCAACAUUUACUUCAAAAUGGUUAUUGAUCAUAACUUAAGUUUUGGAAGACAAAAACAAAUAUUUUGAAAAGUGUUUUUUUUUUGGUGUUAAAUAGUAUGUCUAAAAAUAGCUGUAAAUACAUGAUACAUUUCAGAAAGAUACGAAGGUUGCAAUAUGUAUUUUCAAAUUUUGAUUAAUGUUAAAAUAAAUGGUUUUUAUUGGUAGGGUAAGAAAUAUCUCAUGGUAGGGUAAGAAAUAUCUCAUGGUAGAGUAAGAAAUAUCUCAUGGUAAAGUAAGAAGUAUCUCAUGGUAGGGUAAGAAAUAUCUCAUGGUAGGGUAAGAAAUAUCUCAUGGUAGAGUAAGAAGUAUCUCAUGGUAAAGUAAGAAAUAUCUCAUGGUAAAGUAAGAAAUAUCUCAUGGUAGGGUAAGAAAUAUCUCAAUAUCUCAUUAAGAGUAAGAAAUAUCUCGUGGUAGAGUAAGAAAUAUCUCAAUUGGGUGUAAAGAAUUCUGAUUAGGCUGGGUUUGCUCACAGUUUUGUUGGUAGUAGGGAAACAUCUUUUACUUUUAACUAAAUACAGAACAAGAUUUAUUUCUGCUCUGAUAUGUAAGUGUUCAGUGUUACUAUAUCUGUUAUAAACAGGACAGGACAUCUGACCCUGUGUAUAUAACCCUGCAUUAACAGAUUGAGAUCCUAUGUGACAACAAGGUACACAUACCUGUUUAUAUAUUGGCUAUGUGCCUAGCACAAAACCAACUCUCAUUUGUAGAUUUCCAUGGAAACCAAAAACACAAAAUGUCAUGUUUACUCACAGGUAAUAUUUACAUCCCUGUGUGAAAACUCCAUGUUAUAUUAACACUUGCAUUUAAUUUCAAAGUUUUAUUUUUUUAAUUGGAUUAUUGCAAGUGUACAUUAAUUCAUUAGCCAUUAUCCUGAUCCGUUCGUUGCCGCAUGUACUGGAGUAGUUGAUAAGUAGUCUGAGGUCACUUGACCUAUUUUGUUAGUGUGUAGGUCAACUCCUGCUGUGCAGGCUCUCAGUUGUUCAAUCAUGUUUAGCGCUAGUAGUUGAGGCACAGGUUUGUUUCCAAGCUUAUCAAGAUACUUCCUUCCUAUACGAGGAAUACAUUCGAUUAUGAUGUCUAGAUUAUAAUAUGAAACAUCCCAAUAGUUUUCAAUGCCAAAUUUGUUCAGAAUUUCAAAGACUAAACUAUUGUGCUGCUGGAAAGAUUAACUCCAUUAUACCUAAGAGAAACUGUCCAUCAUACAGAUGGGUGUUUACUUACUAAACGGUAUGCGUCCCUAGAUAUACCUGGUUCCUAAUUGCACUGUCGUGUUUUAGCAUUGUACAAACAUCAAGGUAAAUAUUAAUGAAAUGUGAUGCCAAAAGAAUGUAAGCUUUAAGGAGAACAUUUCAAUAAUAUGUCAUUUUAUCAAGUUAAUAGGUUAACAGCCAAUCAUUUUCUGAUGUACUGUUUAGUUGGGAAACUAAAGUGUGUUCAUAAAAAGCACCAAUCAGUUAGUACAUAUACUACAAAGCCUGUUUGGAAUAGUGCACGCUUUAAAGCUAAAAUGACACAUGUAUUAAGGCUGUGAUAUUUAAAUUACAACAAUAUUAGCUUUUUUUGUAAUUUUCCUUCAGAUGACGUUAAAUGUGUAUCCCGAAAUUUCAGUGCUGCAGAGUUGAAUAGGAAGCUAUAUUUAAGAGUUUAACAUGUACACUGAAUGAAAAUUGCAUGAAGUAACUGUUAUGUUUCAGAUGUUAAACCUUUUAUAUAUUAUCCUAUAAUGUGGAUGUUUCCUGGCUGUAACGGAAAGAUACCCGAGAGAAAUCAAACUUUUUUUCGCUCAACACAAAGCUUGUUAAAAUGAUUAAUGGCUCACGUGACAACAACGAUAUGUUUUGAUCAAUAUAAAACAAUGCCUAUUUUACAUCUGUAGUAUAGUGUUUUUCAACAUUCUUAGUGGAGACUGAUUACUGACGCCAAAAAUUUACAUGAAAUCAAAAACAUGUUGUCAGUUGAUUUUGAAUUCAUUACAGUCAUAUAUUAUUCAUUUAAGAUAGAUUAUACAUGGAUUAAUUCUUCAAUUUAAGAAAAGAAAGGAAGAUGUAAGAUGAAACAAUCAAAACAUUGAUUGAUCCCAAUAGUCUCUCGGCACAUACCGGUAUACUAAUUGAUGUAAGUAGUUAAACAUUCAACUUAUGUGUUUUAGUAAAACACAUUUUCCAAUUAUAAUUCAUAAUGUUAUUAAAUUAUUUUAAGGAAAAGGGAGGUUUUUGAAUUAUAUAGGAAAACCAAAACAAUAAAAUAUAGCUUUAACAUAUUAAAAAUGACGCUGUAUUACUCUGUGCAAAUGAAAUGCUAGUAUCAAUUUCAACAGAAACAUUUAUUACUGGAUAAAUCCAAGUUAAUGUAAUUGUAGUAGGUAUAAUCGGAUACUUGUAAUUACCCAAACUAAGUGCAUCCUUCUGAGUGGCAGGACCACUAAUACGACAAAGGGUGCAAAAUAAAUACUACCAACAACUUGUAACAUAAAUGGGAGAGGCAUAUAAGGGAAACAUGUUCAUAUACAAUAUAGAAUUAAUAACCUUACGUGCUAUUCUGUGACAUUUAGUAAUAGUGACACGAUCAAAAUACCAAAAUAUUAACAUAAUUUUCUGCAAUUCACGUGUAAGAAUUCUUGUGACAUGGAUUCAAUUUAAAACAUUGAUAGCUGGGAAAUUAAUUUCUCCUAUUUAGUUUUACCACAUCUUUUCAUUCAUCAAUUAGUUCAUAGAUAAACCUCAUUAAUUUAAGAUUAACUCUACCUCAUUUCCCCUAACGCACAGUAGUCUUAUUUGUAUUGUACAUGUCCAGAUAAUAUUGCAUAAUAAAAUCUGUAUCAGUCAUUAUAUAGUGAAUGUUGAUAAAAUCAUUUUGUAUUAAAGCCGACAGAUUCAUGCUUCACAUGUCAGCAGUAUUUGAUUCUAGUGGUCUGUUAUCAAUGUUGAUGUGAAGCAAGAAAAGAAAAUAUUUGGCAGAUACCAGGUAUAAAACUAGCUGUUAUAUUCUAACAUACUCGCAAGCUGAACUUCAUGGUCUUAAUCUAUUAUUUAUUGCAAUAUUUCGUAAUUUCAUUGAGAAUUUAGGAAAAACAACAACAAUUUUUUCGCGAAAAUAAACUUUGCCUUCUAGGUUGCAGUUAUGGAUUAGAAGCUGCCGCUUUCUAGUUUCCCCAACCUUUAUUGGAGAAUAAACCUGCCAAAACAGGUGUUUAAAGUCCUUUCUUCUUUCCAACCAUUAUUCAUUAGUUAAUGCUGCUUUCUAUAGCGUUUGCUUUAAUUAUUUUGAAGUAAAAAGAGUGCUCGAUAUUUUCCGCAGGGAAGGCAAUGAGCAAAUCUGAGAUUUGUUCAUUUUGAGGGAAAGUAUUUUAAUGUAUGUAUAUAUUGUAUUUGAAAUCAUCAGUGAAACUGAUUAGCAAUCAUGCGAGCGGAACACUGUUUACUUUUCGUAUAGAAACAAUAAACAGAUUUGACAUCUAGUUACUAGAUGAACUAUAUACACGUUAGAUAUUGUCCCUAGUCCCAUUUUCUCUCAAAAUCUUGAACUCCUGCAUUGAAUGCCUCCAAUUAUUUUCACCAUUGUACUUUUAUUAAUGAGUUGUUAUUUCAUUAAUAAUAUUUCCUAAUUCACUGGAGAAAAUUACCAAUUUUACUAUAUAAAAGAUCAUAUGUUAACUCAAUUUAAAUAUUCAUUUAUAUGUCAUUUUGAUGAUAAAAUGAAAUUUAGUUUGGCAUAAGUUUGAAAAUGAAGAAAAGCUGAAGCCCAAAACUGCAGGGUUUUUUUGUAGAGAAAUCGGGGCAAGGUGUACAAAAGCUUUGGUGUUUGUUUUUGUUGAUAUCUGUUACUGAUUGUAAAGCUGUUAUAUAGAUACCUGGCUCCGGAACACCUGUCCUGUAUUGUGUUUCCUUAGGCUAGGAGUAUCGGUAUCUUUGUUGUUGUGUUGACAGUAAAAUGAUAAAUACUGGACAGGCCAUAGCUUCAGAUUAAGUGCUGCAUACAUAUGUCAUUAGUUCAUUGAUGAUAUGAUAUUCAUUCAUUCCUUCAUUAUGUCAUUGAACCAUCAGAUCGUACCAUUGUUACAGACGAGGGUAUGUCGCAGUGAAUGUAAUCAUGGUGACAUUGUUUCAAUCUAUAUUGCAUAACAAUCUUUUAUUAUGAAUGUUUUUUACUUAAAUAUUUAAAAAAUAGAUCACUUUUUUUUCUAUUCAAACAAAAUAUGAGUAUGUUAAAUAUAUUUAAUAAAACAAAAACUAAGAAUGUAUUAAUUUGACAAAUGUCAAAGUUUUUCAAUAAUAUAUAUAAUUGAUAUGCCAGAACAGUACGAGAUGUUCUGCUGUAAAAUUUCACUACAUAUUCGUUGUCAUAUUGUGUCACCAAGGUAACUUGAUAAUACUUUCCAAUCGCUGCCUUGGUGACGUACGUGGCAUAUCACCAUGGUUACAUUCUCGUCCAUUGUUGUUUAUUUUCAUGUUUCCCACUGGUGCUAGUAAACCCGGUGGCUAUUACCUCAGCCGAUCAUGUUGUCUAUUAUGUCAUUAUUACGUGGAUUAAAGAAGCUUUAAUACAAUAA
Long non-coding RNA from Mizuhopecten yessoensis (Yesso scallop), 6293 nucleotides. RefSeq lists it as uncharacterized. The transcript is spliced from 2 exons. The record is from RefSeq and is a predicted model, not a curated record. NCBI's taxonomy places the organism in Eukaryota, Metazoa, Mollusca, Bivalvia, Pectinida, Pectinidae.